This 204-nucleotide long non-coding RNA is filed under the name Elaeis guineensis (African oil palm). RNAcentral's name for it is "long non-coding RNA (EGUI_LNC026397)". The record is from RNAcentral. Lineage: Eukaryota; Viridiplantae; Streptophyta; Magnoliopsida; Arecales; Arecaceae.
AGGGAUGAAAUAGAGGCUUUGAUUCGAUGAGGCUAUCUUGAGAAGUUUCGACGAGAUCAUCCGACUCAACCUCCCACCGACCAACAGCCUCAGCCACAAGCUAAGGAAACGAUCAAUAAUCGGCUAAUGACGAGAGUAAUAUUCAUAAUCUCUGGAAGACCAAAGGAUCGGGGGGCAACUUCUGAAGAAGUGUCGAUGAAGAAA